UGGGGAAUCUUGCGCAAUGGGCGAAAGCCUGACGCAGCAACGCCGCGUGCGGGACGACGGCCCUCGGGUUGUAAACCGCUUUCAGCAGGAACGAUGAUGACGGUACCUGCAGAAGAAGCUCCGGCCAACUACGUGCCAGCAGCCGCGGUAAUACGUAGGGAGCAAGCGUUGUCCGGAUUUAUUGGGCGUAAAGAGCUCGUAGGCGGUUCGGUAAGUCGGGUGUGAAAACGCUGGGCUCAACCCGGAGAGGCCACUCGAUACUGCCGUGACUUGAGUCUGGUAGGGGAGCACGGAAUUCCUGGUGUAGCGGUGAAAUGCACAGAUAUCAGGAGGAACACCGGUGGCGAAGGCGGUGCUCUGGGCCAGUACUGACGCUGAGGAGCGAAAGCGUGGGGAGCGAAC
This 402-nucleotide ribosomal RNA is filed under the name uncultured bacterium. RNAcentral's name for it is "bacterial SSU rRNA". It matches the Rfam family "Bacterial small subunit ribosomal RNA", at positions 355 to 773 of the family's 1533-position model. The record is from RNAcentral.